Molecule: long non-coding RNA, 780 nt
Organism: Solanum tuberosum (potato)
Lineage: Eukaryota; Viridiplantae; Streptophyta; Magnoliopsida; Solanales; Solanaceae
Exons: 2
Source: RefSeq, a predicted model, not a curated record
CACAGCAUAAAUUUAUUGUACAUCGCACUAUAGAAGUUGGAUAAGGUUCUACUUUAGUUAUUUAAAACAAAAGUAAGGGUAUUUUCGUCUUUUUCUUCAAUUCUUUUCCUCUCCUACGCUUCUGGAUCAUUCUUCCAUUUUCCAUUUUCUUCAUAUGUCUCUCCAUAAUUUCUCAUUCCUCAUCUUUACUGUUAACCCUAAGAGGGCAACAGGGUAAGGUAAAAUCAAACAAAUAUAUGAAUCUCUUCGGAAUUUCAAUAAGAAGAAGAUUCACUAAAGUUUUGUUUUUUAAAAAUUCUCUUAAUUUUUCAUCUCAUAUUCAUCGAUUUAGAGUUUAGCUCUUCCGUGUGUAAGGAUUUCUUUGAGGUUUGCCCUGAGAAACUACCAAAUUACUAGGAGAAGAUCAAGAGCUUUUUUGAAGAACACUUCCAUACCAAUUGGGAGAUCUGUUACUGUGUUGCAGGAAGUGGUUUAUUGAUUGGAAUUUUCUAUUCUGCCUUCCAACUAUUGUUGCUAAAUAUAUACUUCUGGGUGUAAUGUGAAUGAGAGCUGGAUUUGCAUCUGGGUAAAGAAAGGUGGAAUGAUUGUGCCUUCCUACUGGAAUAUAUUACCGCUUCACGCUUGAUUCAUAUUGCUCUUAAGAAGUUAGGUUUAAAUAACCUUGAGUCUACUUUUUUUGUCGAAGCAUUCGUAGAAUACAUCAGCGUUGGCUUAUAUGUAGUGUAUGUAUAUUAUUUACACUCUCAUGUAUGUGAAUAAGUGAAUGUCGCACUUCGCAUA